Long non-coding RNA from Sebastes umbrosus (honeycomb rockfish), 944 nucleotides. RefSeq lists it as uncharacterized. The record is from RefSeq and is a predicted model, not a curated record. Lineage: Eukaryota; Metazoa; Chordata; Actinopteri; Perciformes; Sebastidae. The transcript has 7 exons.
GAAUGCCAACUGGAACGUCUGGAAGGUUGGUCAGUUUGCUGCGCUGCGGACGGAAAGCAUGGAGAGCACAGCACAGGACACGUUCAAGAAACUCCAGAGACAACUGCAGGAACUGGGUGCAGAUCUGCGACGAGCUGCGGUGCUCCUUUGACCAAACCAACCUACUGGUGAAGAAGAUCAUACCUCUGGGGCUGGACAAGGAUCUGUGAGAUCUCUGGAGCUCUCCACAGAACAGCUCCUGGUUAAGAAGGUGUUCACCCUGUACUCCCCGGCGGUGCGGCAGCUGUCUAAACAGGACCACUUUGUUUUGGCCUGCGGCCUCACUCCACCACGUUGGAAAGAAACUGCUCGUAAUGAAGAGAACCUGCCACCGUUCAGCGGAAUCACCCAGGACGUGUUUCCCCGCUGUCGAAACACCCAUUAUAGACUCUAACAAGAUCCCCACUGGGACAGUGGAAGAAUCCUCUGAACUCCAUGGCAAUGAGUCUUGGACAGAUUUAUGGAGAAAAUGACCUCUCGACCAGCCAGUGAGUGCUUUCUUCCCUCAUGAGAUCAGCCUGCACAGGAUACUAUUUUACCCGCCACUAAGAACAAAACCUGCUCUUCUUUAGACGGUACUCUGCCAAAGCACUGGUGCUCUGCUGCCAAACCUGUCUUUUCUACAUGCAGGAGUCCCAGAUCAGGCAGAUCUACGGUACCAUGAUCGACCAGAAGUUACAGGGAUUAAGGAGGAGGUGAAGACCAUUGGAGAGUCUGGGUCUCAGGCCACCUUAGAACUGUAUUAUGCUGUUACGGCUAGUUUUCUUUUCACGCCAGACACAUCUUUGCUCAUUUCUUUAGGUUUGAACUUCUUAAACUGUUCAAGGAAGCAUUUGGCUCUCUGCCUCAUUAAACUAAAAGCUACACAAACUCGAUCUGCUUCCAGCCCUUCAGAUUCUACGAUU